This 486-nucleotide ribosomal RNA is filed under the name uncultured bacterium. RNAcentral describes it as "partial 16S ribosomal RNA". It matches the Rfam family "Bacterial small subunit ribosomal RNA", at positions 30 to 507 of the family's 1533-position model. The record is from RNAcentral.
AUUGAACGCUGGCGGCAUGCCUUACACAUGCAAGUCGAACGGCAGCACGGGUGCUUGCACCUGGUGGCGAGUGGCGAACGGGUGAGUAAUACAUCGGAACAUGUCCUGUAGUGGGGGAUAGCCCGGCGAAAGCCGGAUUAAUACCGCAUACGAUCCACGGAUGAAAGCGGGGGACCUUCGGGCCUCGCGCUAUCGGGUUGGCCGAUGGCUGAUUAGCUAGUUGGUGGGGUAAAGGCCUACCAAGGCGACGAUCAGUAGCUGGUCUGAGAGGACGACCAGCCACACUGGGACUGAGACACGGCCCAGACUCCUACGGGAGGCAGCAGUGGGGAAUGUUGGACAAUGGGCGAAAGCCUGAUCCAGCAAUGCCGCGUGUGUGAAGAAGGCCUUCGGGUUGUAAAGCCCUUUUGUCCGGAAAGAAAUCCUUGACUCUAAUACAGUCGGGGGAUGACGGUACCGGAAGAAUAAGCACCGGCUAACUACGUG